UCCCUGGUGGCUCAGAGGUUAAAGCGUCUGCCUGCAGUGCAGGAGACCCAGGUUCGAUUUCUGGGUCGGGAA
Molecule: transfer RNA, 72 nt
Filed under: Ovis aries (sheep)
Lineage: Eukaryota; Metazoa; Chordata; Mammalia; Artiodactyla; Bovidae
Rfam family: tRNA
About the family: Transfer RNA (tRNA) molecules are approximately 80 nucleotides in length.
Source: Rfam by way of RNAcentral